ACAGCUCCUCUCGGCUUCUUCCCAACAGUCGUCUGAGAACUUGGUGCUUCCUCAUCUUUCCAAGAUGUCCUGCUACACGCCAUCCUGCUAUAUCCCAUCAUGUAAUACAUCAUGCUACCCAUUCCGCUCCUAUGGCCCUUAUGGCUAUAGUAGCUUGGGUGGUGGCCUAGCCAUCGGAGGAGGGUCAUCAAAUGUAAUUUCUGAGGGAUGCAAUGCCAAACUCCCAGACAGUGAAAUCUGUGUUCAGCCACAAUGUAUGAAUAUUACUCUACCCGGUCCAAUAGUCUCCUAUAGUAGUACAACAAAAGUGGGUGGAUGCAGUCCUUGCGUUGGUGGAUAUUCUGGUUCUUAUGGUAGUGGAUAUCCUGGUAACUUUGGUGGAUAUUUGGGGUCCACUGGAUACUGCAGACCCUGCUAAAAAGAAGACCCUAUUGGAACCCCCGGCAACUGAUCAACGUGAUGCAUGGAUUUACGACUGAUGAUUUUGCAGAUAUCAGGAAAACGGAGCCUCCUUCAUCCACAUCUGGAUAAGCAGAUGCUCGUGUAUUCUGAUCUCCAGCUCUACCUACAAUUUAUAGUUCAGACCUUUUUGCUACAUUGCUUUGCUACACUCUCCUACCUGGCUUCGUGUCUUCCAAGGGCCUCCUGGACCAGCUGUAUUGAGAAUCAAGGGACAAUUUGUCCAUUGAGUGUGACCUCUGGCUAUUCUGCCACCGUGUCACGAUCUGUUAUCAUUUCCAACAAUUUUAAUACUUCAACUAAGGAUAAAUUUGUGACAAAUCAUUUGUAUUUUUUCCCCAUUGAUUCACUUUGAUUUGUAAUUGAAAAUCUUGGCUAUCCCUCCCUUUGCAAUAAAGCUUUGCUUCAGCAA
Molecule: long non-coding RNA, 871 nt
Organism: Anolis carolinensis (green anole)
Lineage: Eukaryota; Metazoa; Chordata; Lepidosauria; Squamata; Anolidae
Exons: 2
Source: RefSeq, a predicted model, not a curated record